This 16833-nucleotide long non-coding RNA is filed under the name Salmo salar (Atlantic salmon). RNAcentral describes it as "lncRNA (ENSSSAG00000086582.1)". The stretch from base 4394 to 4447 matches the Rfam family "UnaL2 LINE 3' element". The record is from RNAcentral. Lineage: Eukaryota; Metazoa; Chordata; Actinopteri; Salmoniformes; Salmonidae.
GAUUUUGCCGCCAUUGGCAAGUGUCUCGUGAAUGGAAGGAGUGGACAGAUCGAGAGUGUGGAUCCGUCCAGCAUCAGAAGUCAUUCACAGAAUUUCUUCAUUUCUAAAUGUAAUUAGAAUUCGAGUGAAGACGUCCCCAUCUAAAAAGAGCCGAGCAGGGACCCAGGGGUGCCUACAGAGGGCCAUACAGCCGGGUCCACAAACUCUCUGUUCUCCCAGCCCAGCAACAGCAGCCUAGGUGUUCCGCACAGCACAGAGACCGAGAGAGGGAGGAAGAGCCCAAUGGUCGGACAAAAGUCAAAAGAUUUGUCCCCAACACAAACCGUCUAUAAAUUAUAGAAUCCAGACAAAAUUAGACAUUACCAGAGGCCCUUGAAGUCCUAAAGCUGAGAGCUGAGCUACAGGCAGAAAAAUACAAAAAAAAAGUGCUGCUGGACACCAUGACCACCUUGAAAAGCCAGCUGGCAUCCCUAAGAGGGUCUGACCAGCAGUAGGCUACGUGCUGGAAUCAGGCAGGGACUCGAGCAGCAAGGGGGAAUCAACCAGGGGACUCGUCAUUCCUGUCUCUGAGGAGGAACAUUUCCCAAAGAAGUGAAGAGCCUGAGGGUUUCAAUGGAUCCAACAAAUUGCUGGCAGAUAUUUUCCCUGUAGGCUUUGGAGCGAGUAGUCGUGCUGCACUUCGCUCCGCAGGCCAUACAAACGCUUCACACCGCGUGGCCGCUGCCACUCUAACCUGGUGGUCCCAGCGCGCACGACCCACGUGGAGUUCCAGGUCUCCGGCCAACAAGGCAGAGUUCAUCUCAGCCUAUGCUACCCUCCAGUCCCUCGACUUCUUGGCGCUGACGGAAACAUGGAUUACCACAGAUAACACUGCUACUCCUACUGCUCUCUCCUCGUCUGCCCACUUGUUCUCGCAUACCCCGAGAGCAUCUGGCCAGCGGGGUGGUGGCACUGGAAUCCUCAUCUCUCCCAAGUGGACAUUCUCUCUUCCUCCCCUGACCCAUCUGUCUAUCGCCUGCUUUGAAUUCCAUGCUGUCAGUUACCAGCCCUUUCAAGCUUAACAUCCUUAUCAUUUAUCGCCCUCCAGGUUCCCUUGGAGAGUUCAUCAAUGAGCUUGACGCCUUGAUAAGUUCCUUUCCUGAGGAUGGCUCACCCCUCACAGGUCUGGGUGACUUUAACCUCCCCACGUCUACCUUUGACUCAUUCCUCUCUGCCUCCUUCUUUCCACUCCUCUCCUCUUUUGACCUCACUCUCUCACCUUCCCCCCUACUCACAAGGCAGGCAAUACGCUUGACCUCAUCUUUACUAGAUGCUGUUCUUCCACUAAUCUCAUUGCAACUCCCCUCCAAGUCUCCGAUCACUACCUUGUAUCCUUUUCCCUCUCGCUCUCAUCCAACACUUCUCACUCUGCCCCUACUCGGAUGGUAUUGCGCCGUCGCAACCUUCGCUCUCUCUCUCCCGCUACUCUCUCCUCUUCCAUCCUAUCAUCUCUUCCCUCUGCUCAAACCUUCUCCAACCAACCAAUCUCCUGAUUCUGCCUCCUCAACCCUCCUCUCCUCCCUUUCUGCAUCCUUUGACUCUCUAUGUCCCCUAUCCUCCAGGCUGGCUCAGUCCUCCCCUCCUGCUCCGUGGCUCGACGACUCAUUGCGAGCUCACAGAACAGGGCUCCGGGCAGCCGAGCGGAAAUGGAGGAAAACUCGCCUCCCUGCGGACCUGGCAUCCUUUCACUCCCUCCUCUCUACAUUUUCCUCUUCUGUCUCUGCUGCUAAAGCCACUUUCUACCACUUUAAAUUCCAAGCACCCUAGGAAGCUCUUUGCCACCUUCUCCUCCCUCCUGAAUCUUCCUCCCUCUCUGCGGAUGACUUCGUCAACCAUUUUGAAAAGAAGGUCGACGACAUCCGAUCCUCGUUUGUUAAGUCAAACGACACCGCUGGUCCUGCUCACACUGCCCUACCCUGUGCUCUGACCUCUUUCUCCCCUCUCUCUCCAGAUGAAAUCUCGUGUCUUGUGACGGCCGGCCGCCCAACAACCUGCCCGCUUGACCCUAUCCCCUCCUGUUCUCCAGACCAUUUCCGGAGACCUUCUCCCUUACCUCACCUCGCUCAUCAACUCAUCCUUGACCGCUGGCUACGUCCCUUCCGUCUUCAAGAGAGCGAGAGUUGCACCCCUUCUGAGAGAAUCUACUCGAUCCCUCCGAUGUCAACAACUACAGACCAGUAUCCCUUUUUUUUCUCUCAAACUCUUGAACGUGCCGUUCUUGGCCAGCUCUCCUGCUAUCUCUCUCAGAAUGACCUUCUUGAUCCAAAUCAGUCAGGUUUCAAGACUGGGCAUUCAACUGAGACUGCUCUUCUCUGUGUCACGGAGGCUCUCCGCACUGCUAAAGCUAACUCUCUCUCCUCUGCUCUCAUCCUUCUAGACCUAUCUGCUGCCUUUGACACUGAACCAUCAGAUCCUCCUCUCCACCCUCUCCGAGUUGGGCAUCUCCGGCGCGGCCCACGCUUGGAUUGCGUCCUACCUGACAGGUCGCUCCUACCAGGUGGCGUGGCGAGAAUCUGUCUCCGCACCACGUGCUCUCACCACUGGUGUCUCCCAGGGCUCUGUUCUAGGCCCGCUCCUAUUCUCGCUAUACACCAAGUCACUUGGCUCUGUCAUAUCCUCACAUGGCCUCUCCUAUCAUUGCUACGCAGACGACACACAAUUAAUCUUCUCCUUUCCCCCUUCUGAUAACCAGGUGGCGAAUCGCAUCUCUGCAUGUCUGGCAGACAUAUCAGUGUGGAUGACGGAUCACCACCUCAAGCUGAACCUCGGCAAGACGGAGCUGCUCUUCCUCCCGGGGAAGGACUGCCCGUUCCAUGAUCUCGCCAUCACGGUUGACAACUCCAUUGUGUCCUCCUCCCAGAGUGCUAAGAACCUUGGCGUGACCCUACUCACGAUAAACAUUCACAAAAAGCAUAACAAUUAUUUUAAGAAUUAUAGAUACAGAACUCCUCUAUGCACUCGAUAUGUCCGAUUUUAAAAUAGCUUUUUGGUGAAAGCACAUUUUGCAAUAUUCUAAAUACAUAGCCCAGCCAUCACGGGCUAGCUAUUUAGACACCCAGCAAGUUUAGCCUUCACCAAAAUCAGAUUUACUAUAUCAAAAAUGUUAUUACCUUUGGUAUUCUUCGUCAGAAUGCACUCCCAGGACUUCUACUUCAAUAACAAAUGUUGGUUUGGUCCCAAAUAAUCCAUCGUUAUAUCCAAAUAGCGGCGUUUUGUUCGUGCGUUCUAGACACUAUCCGAAAUGGUAAAUCAGGGUUACGAGCAUGGCGCAAUUCGUGACAAAACAUUUCUAAAUAUUCCAUUACCGUACUUCGAAGCAUGUCAACCGCUGUUUAAAAUCAAUUUUUAUGCAAUUUAUCUCGUAAAAAAAGCGAUAAUAUUCCGACCGGGAAUCUGCGUUUCGGUAAACAGAGGAAAAAACAGAAAGCGGGGGCGGCCAGUGCACGCGCCUAAGCCCACUGUCCCCUGAUCGGCCACUUGAGAAAGGCGAUAAUGUGUUUCAGCCUGGGGCUGGAAUGACGACAUUCAGCUUUUUCCCGGGCUCUGAGAGCCUAUUGGAGCCGUGGGAAGUGUCACGUUACCGCAGAGAUCCUUUGUUUUGGAAAGAGAUGUCAAAGAAAGCCAAUAAAUGGUCAGACAGGCCACUUCCUGUAAAGGAAUCUCUCAGGUUUUUGCCUGCCAUAUGAGUUCUGUUAUACUCAGACACCAUUCAAACAGCUUUAGAAACUUUAGGGUGUUUUCUAUCCAUAUCUAAUAAGUAUAUGCAUAUUCUAGUUACUGGGUAGGAGUAGUAACCAGAUUAAAUCGGGUACGUUUUUUUAUCCGGUGGUGUAAAUACUAGCCCUAAGAGGUUAAACCCCUACAACUCAUCCAGAACGCCGCAGCCCGUCUGGUGUUCAACCUUCCCAAGUUCUCUCACGUCACCCCGCUCCUCCGCUCUCUCCACUGGCUUCCAGUUGAAGCUCGCAUCCGCUACAAGACCAUGGUGCUUGCCUACGGAGCUGUGAGGGGAACGGCACCUCCGUACCUUCAGGCUCUGAUCAGGCCCUACACCCAAACAAGGGCACUGCGUUCAUCCACCUCUGGCCUGCUGGCCCCCCUACCUCUGAGGAAGCUCAGUUCCCGCUCAGCCCAGUCAAAACUGUUCACUGCUCUGGCACCCCUAUGGUGGAACAAGCUCGCUCACGACGCCAGGACAGCGGAGUCAAUCACCACCUUCCGGAGACACCUGAAACCCCACCUCUUUAAGGAAUACCUGGGAUAGGAUUAAGUAAUCCUUCUAACCUCCCCCCCCAAAAAAAAAGAUAUAGAUGUACUAUUGUAAAGUGGUUGUUCCACUGGAUUUCAUAAGGUGAAUACACCAAUUUGUAAAUCGCUCUGGAUAAGAGCGUCUGCUAAAUGACUUAAAUGUAAAUGUUUAUGUACAUUACAGAUAACUACGCCGUUCAGUCUCUCUUGGCCCAUGCUGGUCCGUAGCCAAGUCUUUAACCUACGGAGUGCAAUGAAACUCCUCAGCCUCAUAUGAAGACACUGGUACAACAAACAAAAUUCUGAUCAGCACCUCAACUUGGUCAACCAACCCCUGCACGUCCACUGGAAGCCUCUGAGGACCUCAACUGCCUCUCCACUGCUGCUACAGUGGUAUUUGUUGCAAAAGAGAGGCAACUGCACUGAAAGAGAAUCUAUGUUCAACUCAGGGUAUUGAUCUAGAGACUCAUCCAACUCCCCCGUGAGAAGCGCUCUUUCCAACUUUUGCAGGAGGUUUAGACUGUCCUGGUCAAAAUGGUCGCCAAACUGAACCCCCACCAUCCAACGCUUAAAAAUAAUUCUGCCCUAUAGUGAUCUUUUUUGUUAUUGUUAUUUUUUAAUUAACAGUAACAUGCAAAACAUAAACAUAACAGCCAGAGGGAUUCCACAAAGAAAUGAGAAUUAAAAAAAAAUAAUAAUAAUAUUCCACAUCGAUUCAAAUACAGACAUAUAGCGAAUAAAUUUUUUUACAUUUUGUUUUGUAUACGUUUUAAAGACUAAAUAGUUUUCCAAAUCAGAUAAAAAAAAUUAAGGAAAGGGUUCACAAACUGCAUUCACUGCUAACAUCAGGUAUAUAUUUAGAAAUCAAGCUAUUACACGGAUAGAAUCUAUGGAUAAUCUUAAAGGAGAUCUCCUUUACUUUAUUGUUCACCAUAAAUUUGUGUGGAGUGAGCCAAGCACGGCACCAGUUUACAUCAAACAAUGAAGCCCAACAAAAUAUUGCAGAGGGAAUUGACUUCCUGUAGAAAAUAACCCUUAACAUAAGAUUGUUGAAUUUCGUAUCUAGUAGACCAAUGCCAUUCACCUGGAUAUCGCUUACAAUCGGAGAUAUUCCAAAAUAUGCAUUAUUCUGAAGUAAAGUUUUUAUCCCACUAGGUAUAGCUUUAAUAACAGUGUCAUAUUCCUUGCUUGAAACUUCAGUUGUAUCUUUCCAUAAAGCUUUUCAAUAGAUUCCAACUAAUAUUAACUAAUUGGCUGGCAAGUACAAUGUUUUUCCAGAACCAUUUAUGGUUAAAUAACAUCUUGUUUCUAUGUAAUAUCGACCCAUUGUUCCAUAUAAAUCACUUAUGAGGUGAAAAGUUGUGUUUAUACAACAAAGCCCAGCACAUUAAAGCCUGCUUGUGAAAAGCCGCCAGUUUCACAGGAAGUUUACCCACAAUAUAUGGACAUUGUAGUAAAAAAUUAAGCCCUCCAAACUUCUGAAAAACAAAAUGAGGUAUAAUAUUCCAGAAACUGAGGAUUUUUUUAUGUACCUUUUUAAUCCAGUUGACCUUUGAUAUCUGAUUUGAAGAGAGUGAAGUCUAAGACAUUUAGACCGCCAUCACAAACCCUGCUGGUGAUAAAAUCUCUAUCUUAUGUGGCAUGUUUUCCCAUGUGAAGUUGUACAAAAGCCUAUCUAAAGUACAGCAAGUGGAUUUGGGAAUGUCAAUCGAUUAAAAAAGAAAGCCCCUCAGCUUUGGAUAAAAGCACCCUUUCUUGAAGACUUAAAUCCCUCCCUAACCAUGAGGAGGAUUUUUUGGGGGGGACAGAUUCAGUUACAGGGUUCAAAUUAAGAUCAUUCACAGCCUUAAGAUUUUUGGUGAUCUUUACGCCGAGGUAGGUUACAGUAUCUUUUUCAGAGAUGUUACAAUCUGCUGGAUUGACAGCUCCUUUUAAAACAAACAUCUCACAUUUGGAAAGAUUUAAUGCCAAACCUGAGAUUUUGGAGAACUGCUUCACGAUAUCCAAAGCUAAUCUAGCUUGUGACACAUUUUUCAAAAAAAGUGAGCUGUAAUCUGCCAGUUGGGAUAUCUUGAUCUCUCUGGCCUGGAAUGUAAUGCCUUCAAAUUGACUUUAUGAACUAAUGAGCAUAAUAUUUGAGAUGCUAACAAAAAUAAAAAAGGUGAAAUUGGACAACCUUGUCAUAUUCCUUUGUAAAUGUUAAACCUUGAGGAUGUUCCAUGACAGAGUUUGAUACAGCUAUUGUCACCAUUAUACAGAGUUCUAAUAGCAUCAACAAAAAAACAACCACAUUUCAAAUGCUUAAGACAAUCAAAGAUAAAAUUGUGACUUACUGUAUCAAAUGCUUUCUGAAAAUCCCAAAAUAGGAUAACAGGGAAGUCAUCCAAUAGAUCACAAUACUCAACCAAGUCUAACACCAGCCUCGGAUUAUUAGAUAUAUGGCGCCCUUUUAUAAACCCUGAUUGAAUGUCAAUCAGAUCAUUCAAGCAAGACUUUAACCUUUUUGCAAAGAUUAAGGCUAUAAUUUAGGAGUGUGAUUGGAUGCCAAUUAUCAACAUUUAAGAGAUCCUUGUGUGGUUUAGGUAUAAGAGUAAUAACCCCUUGCUUCAGAGAGGCAGGUAGUUCUCCCUUCUUUAUAGCCUCCUUAAAGGUUUCAAGUAAAAAUGGUGCUAUUUCUUCAGAGAAGGUUUUGUAAAAUUCAGAGGUUAAUCCAUCACAACCUGGAGAUUUGUUAUUUUUUUAACUGAGCAACCUCGUACUGGAUGUCCAUAAUGGAUAAAUCUUGACAACAAGACCAAUUGAAUUCUUCACUAACCGAAUUAACAUUCUCUAUAGAAUCAAGGAGAUCCUUAGUCACUCAAAUUAUCUAAGGAGUAAAGAUUCUCAUAAAACUCAGUGGUAAAGUCUAACAACUCUCUAUCCUCAGUGGUAACCACAUUAAUCUUAAGUUCCAAAGUGUGUUGAGUUCCCCUCUCCUCUUUUCCAAAUUAAAAAAGUAUCUACUGUCCAUGUGGUUGAUGACCGCUACUAGCCAAUAGCCAAUGUCCAUUGGAGUCCAUUUGAGUAAACCAAAAUUUCCCUUUGAAAUGGUGUGCUAAAAUUGCAACCCCAGCUGAAUGAUUAGUCCCGUGGGCCAAAAAAAUGACAUUGCCCCACUGAUUUUUUUCCAAUAAUUAUAGUCCUCUUUGCAUGAAUGUGUUUCUUUUACGAAUACAAGAUCUGCGUUUCAGUCCUUACAAAAAAAAGCUUUUCUCUUCAACAGGUUUCGUAUCCCCCUGGCAUUGAUUGACAUAAACUUCAAGUCCAUAUCUGUAGAAUAGAAAGAAAAAUCCUAUGCAAUCUCAACUCUACCCUCUCUAUAAAAAGUUGCUUCAUAUAUGUAUUAACAGAAGUCUUAACUUGUAAACAGUAACACCAUAAUUCAAAACUAGAACGCUGAGUUUGCAGUGGGGAAGGAGCUACCUUGUAAACAUACCGACAGAACAAAUCACUCCGGUCGUAUUUCUUUUCCGUCGGCGAAAAAGGCUCUGAUUCACCUGUAGUAUCCACCCUUUCCUUGAUUUCGGGCCUGUUGUACAAGAGGCCACAAUUUUGCCUUUGCUGCCUUGUCUGCUGCAGUCAAGUCCUCACCAAAUCUAAAUGUUCUCUCUUUCAGAAAGGCGCUUUCCUUUGCUUUCUUCCAAACUGUAUCUCUCGCUGUGCGAAAAGCAAACUGGAUGAUGAUCGAGCGGCUGACGAUGGCAUCUUGUUUCUUCCCAAUACGAAUUUCAGCCGAAGUUUUUUCCCCCUAUAGUGAUCCACUGCUUUGCCAGCAAAUCGUCUUGAGUGUGUCUCAAUGGAUUCAAUGGAGUCAAUCAAUGUUGUUGCUUUCUCAUACAGUGCAAGGUAGCUUUCGUCAUUUCUGCUGUUUACCCCACGCGCUGGAUAACUGGGCACUUUGUUUGAACUACUUACUGGAUAUCAGCCACCAACUACAGACACUGUCAGAUUCCCACACAUGCACAUCAGUGUUGCCAACUCCUCCGUAAGGAAAGUAGCUUUUGGCUGUCCUAGAAGUUGCUAAAUGAUGCCAUCAUCUAAUUUGCAUAAUUGGCCAUGUGCAUGUAAUUGUGAUGGACGCUGUAGGAGUGAGGAAUAACGUCCUGGGAGAGACAAAGUGAGUAAAAAAACACCCUAAAUAUGUUUAGAACUACAAAUGAACUUCUGUUGAUUCUUGUUUUUUUUUUUAUGUCACAAUUACCGGUCCCAAGUCCGGAUAAAGGAGGAGGGUUGGAAAAGUGACCCAAAAGAGACAGUGGGGGAGUUAAAGUUUUUUUUUUUUUGUUAUUUUUUUUGUUUUAGUUUUCUUAAUUUAGUUUGGUUUUUAACCUUCACUUAGGCUCCACUUAGGAGCCUAUAACAAGUCACAAUAAAACAUGAACAUUUUUAACCAUAACAUUAUUUUGUAUACAAUCUAAAUGGACCAAAAAGAGACAAUAGAAAAAACUGUCAAUGGCAAUGUGAGAAUUAUGGUAACUAGUCUGGCCCCAGUUCAGGUUGAAACAUUUUUUAUGUAAGCCAGGGCGGGAUCUGCCAGCAGCGGCUUCCCGCAUGUGCAAUUAAUUUGCAGUCUGAACGCGAGGGGUGAACAUCUCCUGCUCUCACUGCAGUGCGAGGGCUGUGAGUGCUUUGGGGUGGAGGUGGGGCCCGCAGCAGCACACGCAGCUCGUUGAGAAGAGUAAGAAUGAUACGUGCUUUCACGUCAGACUCCAAAAGUCUCCAAUAACACCAGAAAAAGUCGCUAGAUUUGUCGAUAGUCGCUUUUUUGAAGAUUUGUCACUAGAGGGGUCUGAAUACUCGCUAAAUAUAGCGACAAAGUCGCUAAGUUGCCGACACUGUGCACAGUACCUGCAUCGUGUGUGACUUCUGAGGGCUGGGAGGCAGUGGAUCAAACCAUUGGGACCCCCCUUAGCCUUACAAUCAUUUGAAACUUAAAAACGAGCUAUUAAGUGUCUAUAAUCAGCACAAGUGCUUUCAUUGCACAUUAUUAAUAUUAUUGAAAUCACAGUUAUGUUUCCAGUGAUAUAUUGGGGGGGACAAAUCAUAUUUUUCCCAGGAUGGGGGGGACGUCCCCCCUGGGAUUUCCGCCUAUGUAUGUUCCCUAAUUAGUGCACUUGGCUAAAGUAGUGUAGUAGGAAAUAUGGUGUCAUUUGGGACCAAUACUCAACAUAGUAUUAGUCCGGACUGAAUAUGUAAUAUUGCUGUCUGGACAAUGUAAACUCGGUAAACGUACCGUCCUGAACCGUGACACGGUCCAUGCUUCCCAAGGUGGCCUGAGCAUCCUCACCGACGCUGUAAUACUUCUAUGCAAGUCGACUGCUGAACCGCUCUCAAGCAUCAGGCCAGCUGCACACACAAGCGGCCGCUGGCGAAUCAAUCUCAGCGGGCUCGCUGUCAAAAAGCCUACUCCUUAUCGCCAUUUGUCAACUGACUACAGUGAUUUUGACCGAGUUCAAAAUAUCUGACACUGAUUUCUUAGAAUUACAGGGUUUUAUACGGAAUCUUACGUCAUGGUUGUCUGUCACAAUGGAUGAACGUUUACUAAACUGAUAAAAGUUCAACAGUGACGUCAAUUAAAUUGUAUUUUGGUGUGAUCUGGGAGUUUAUAAAAUUGUAAACUAUUAACCAUGGUUGAGGGAACAGUAUCCUAAGAGUCAUAAAUGUAUUUAUGUAACAAUCUUCAAAAUUAUAUUACAUUUGAUGUUUUGGUGCCUUUAGACUUAAGGCAAUUCAGAAAGCUGAUAGAGAACCUUAUUCCUGAUUUAAUGUGUCUUUUUUAUGACUGUGUCCAUGUUUUUUUUCUGCGUGCCUUUUGAUGUGUGUAUUUCUGUAAUUCAGGGCUCAUCUGUGUGUAAAAGAGACAUUGGCCUCAGUAUGACUCCCUGAUGACAUAAAAGUAAAUAAAUCUAGGGCUCUGAAUCAAUAAAGAUAUUUAACUUCACCCAGAGGCCAAAUCUGAAGGGACUAGUACAGAAAACACACAGAUUACAUCACAUACAUAGUUAUACACUGCUCAAAAAAAUAAAGGGACCACUUAAACAACACAAUGUAACUCCAAGUCAAUCACACUUCUGUGAAAUCAAACUGUCCACUUAGGAAGCAACACUGAUUGACAAAUUUCACAUGCUGUUGUGCAAAUGGAAUAGACAACAGGUGGAAAUUAUAGGCAAUUAGCAAGACACCCCCAAUAAAGGAGUGGUUCUGCAGGUGGUGACCACAGACCACUUCUCAGUUCCUAUGCUUCCUGGCUGAUGUUUUGGUCACUUUUGAAAUGCUGGCGGUGCUUUCACUCUAGUGGUAGCAUGAGACUGAGUCUACAACCCACACAAGUGGCUCAGGUAGCGCAGCUCAUCCAGGAUGGCACAUCAAUGCGAGCUGUGGCAAGGUUUGCUGUGUCUGUCAGCGUAGUGUCCAGAGCAUGGAGGCGCUACCAGGAGACAGGCCAGUACAUCAGGAGACGUGGAGGAGGCCGUAGGAGGGCAAUAACCCAGCAGCAGGACCGCUACCUCUGCCUUUGUGCAAGGAGGAGCACUGCCAGAGCCCUGCAAAAGGACCUCCAGCAGGCCACAAAUGUGCAUGUGUCUGCUCAAACGGUCAGAAACAGACUCCAUGAGGGCCCGAUGUCCACAGGUGGGGGUUGUGCUUACAGCCCAACACCGUGCAGGACGUUUGGCAUUUGCCAGAGAACACCAAGAUUGGCAAAUUCGCCACUGGCGCCCUGUGCUCUUCACAGAUGAAAGCAGGUUCACACUGAGCACAUGUGACAGACGUGAGAGAGUCUGGAGACGCCGUGGAGAACGUUCUGCUGCCUGCAACAUCCUCCAGCAUGACCGAUUUGGCGGUGGGUCAGUCAUGGUGUGGGGUGGCAUUUCUUUGCGGUCCGCACAGCCCUCCCAUGUGCUCGCCAGAGGUAGCGUGACUGCCAUUAGGUACUGAGAUGAGAUCCUCAGACCCCUUGUGAGACCAUAUGCUGGUGCGGUUGGCCCUGGGUUCCUCCUAAUGCAAGACAAUGCUAGACCUCAUGUGGCUGGAGUGUAUCAGCAGUUCCUGCAAGAGGCAACACUCUAACCACUAGGUUCCCUGUCGCCCCCGAGCUGAUAUGUAUAAAUAUAUAUUUACCAAAAUAUAUAUGGGGGAUUGGAAACGAUGCAAACAAUUACAUUGAUGUUAGAUACAAUCUAUCUGCAAUAUUAAAGCUGAUCUACCCCCUAAAUAAAAUAAAUCCUUUUAUUUUUAAAUUGUCCAUCUGCAGUGUUUCCAGGAAGAUCAGAGGAAAAUUCAUGUUGUAGAAUUAUCACUGAUUGAUUGAAAACUUGAAGAAAUAUAUAAAGACCAUCCAAUCAUCACAUUCAUUGCAAAGACUGUACAGCAGGACUUUAAUUCAGACAUGUAUUAGAAAUGAAAUGCCAUUAGCUGGCCUCAGAAACUCUUUGUAACAAGCAGAACAGUCAGUGAUCAGACAGAUACUAAGGCUGCAUGCAUAGAUGUGACCCAGACACUCAUUGUGUUGUCUGUUGGUCCUAGAUAGCCAUUUGAUUUGAAUAGUACUUACAGUAAAUGAGGUUAGCAACUGCUGUGACUGGGCAGGCAGACUGUUGUCCUAUUAAAGUCCAUUAGUUUCCCCGGAAACGGAAUAUCUUAAAACAGGAGGACAAAUCAAUUGAAAGUAGACCACAGAUUCUUAUCAUGCUGGAAGCAGGGAGUCCUGGCAAAGAAGCAGAUUAUAUAUAUAGCAGGUUAUAUUUUUAUUUUUAUCUCUUUGGAAGAUUUCAUAGGUGAUUUUUGUAAAAUGUAAGCUUUUUUUUUUCAUAUAUCAUAUUUGAAUGGACUUUACUUAGGUCCAACAGCAUUGGACUGAAAUGCAUCUAGGCAGAGGUAGAGGAAAUAAUGUGAGAUACUGAAAUGUUACUAUGCAUAUCAUGCACAUUCAUACUGUGAUAAUGACAAAUACAUAGUAUAUCGCCCAGUUCUAAUGCAGAUGGCUUAUGUUGUAAAGCAAGGAUGAUGAUUCCAUGUCCUCAUAAAGAUCCCAACGUAAAUCAAUAUCUACAUCAUCAACUGACACUGAAUCAGUGUCCCCAUUAAGCUAUCAAAAUGAUAUCUCCUGGUAUUUUCAUUUGGCAAAAAUAAUUCAGAAUUCUUGAUUAGGCUUGCAAAAGAUUCUCAUUUUUCCUGGACUGUUUGGAAUUCCCAGGCCUCUGCAGAUCUUGGUGAGAUUAGGCCAGAGAGGGACACCAGGGGUGUAGAGGUUGGUUAGUAGGUCUUGGUGAGAUUAGGCCAGAGAGGGACACCAGGGGGUGUAGAGGUUGGUCAGUAGGUCUCGGUCAGAGUAGUGGUUGAAGACAUGCCGAAUGCGCCCUUGGGAUCGUGCGCCCUUGAGUUAAAUAAGUAGGUCAGAGACUGUAUGUGGGAAAUCACACUGGAAACUCGCUUGCGUAUCCCUUCAAGUUUGCAUGUCUAAUGGUCUAAUGGGUUUGCAAAUAAUGUCAAUUUUCCACACCCAUCAGUAACUGCCUGUUUUGCAUGGCAAAGGUUACAGAUACCGCAUCAACUUAUUUGCUCCUCUUCUGAUUUGAAUGGACCCUGGUAAAAUAAGUCAUGCUUCCUGUGUGAAACAGCCAUAAGAAGGAGACAUUAAAAUGAAAUAGAAGAAGUUGGCUACCAGUGCUCUCUAUGCAGUAACUCUUUCCAUUCCUCAAAAUGGCUUGGCCUCAAUCAUUCAGAUGACACACUCCUUCAAACAGUGAAGGUCUAAUUUCCUGGUGGGUCAAUGUAAGCUAAAGCUAACAGAGCUAAUAGUUAGCUGUCCAAGAAGCUCAAACACAAAGGCUUUCAAUUUGCAACAUGACCUUCUGUGUUGGCAUCCUUCUGGAGAAACUUGUUUCCAAGUGUUGGAAGUAGAAAUUAAAUCAUACACAAAAUAUAUUGGACAAUUAAAUGUGAAGUAGUGCCAAAAACAACAAGCAGUCAAUUAUUCUUGGACUGUGCUAGACAUGGACAUGGGAGAUGUUUGGCUGCCUUGAUUGGCUGAUGCCUAAUGAUUUUCAACAUCAAGUGACUGGAUUAGGCAUAGGGUUAGCCAAUAGCACAUUGGUAGACCAUACUUCAGGUCUCAAGAAGGCAGCAAUGCUAACUUAUUAUUUUGCUAUACAUACUGUAUCUAUUAUCUUUGGUAAGAUCAUGCCUAUGGGCACCCAGUUGCAUUGUCAAUGUUUGGAUAAACCUCAAAUGUGUAAACUUAGCUUUUAAACAAUGACUCAGCCUCUAAAUGUAGUUUUUUGCACCUAAUUUUUUCAUGGACAGUUCCACAAGUCAAUAUUUUCGGCUCGUCCCUUUUGAACUAUCUCUUCUUCAUAUUCAGACCUACAAAGGCUGAUUACCUGUGAUAUCUGCCACAAUCCCCCACCCCUCUACACAGGAUGUUUUGAUACAGAUUUAGGAUCUUAAUUUAAAUUUGAAUUAUGUUUUAGUCCCAUGCGUGGAGGUUGAACGCUUUGACACAUUGAAUGUGAAAGUGAGAGUGGUUCAGUGAGUGGACUCGGCCUAGAAAGAAUGUUCCUUUUCAGAACCAUGGAGAGCGCAUUAUGCAUUGUGGCGCAGCCCCUUUUUCUACUCCUAGUUAGAGCCAUAUGUAUUUGCUAAACUGCUCUACUUCACUGCUCUCUAAACCAUGGUUCAUAGUUCACAAUUUUAUAAACUCCCAAAUCAUCCCCAACAUUUAAUUUAAUUGAUACUGUUGAGUGUUUUUUAAUCAGUUUGGUAAACAUGUUCAUCCCAUUGUGACAUUGCCAACCACGACAAAUGGAAUCAUUUGACGUAUUAAUGGUUCCAUAUAAAACCCUUUAAUUCUAAGAAAGUGUCAUAUGGUCUUGAACUCGGUCAAAACACUGCAGUAUGAAGGGUGAUAAUGAGUAAGCCUACGUUCAGUCGUUUUUUGAAAGCGACCACGCUGAGAUUGCUCCGUGAGCGACCGCUUCUGUGUGCAGCUGGCCUGGUGAUCGCUACGGGUUCGGCAGUCUACUUUUAUAACAAAUAUUACGGCGUCGGUGAGGAUGAACCGGCCACCGUGGAGACCGUGGACCGUGUUGUCACGGUUGAGGAGGGUACAUUUACAGAUUUUACAAUGUCUAAAUAACAAUACUGACUGUAUAAACGUGUAGAACAAAAGGAGGAAGGGAAGCGCUGCUAAGGUGCACAAUAGUAGGUUUUGGUAGACAGAAGGUGCUCUUUGGUAAAAGGGGUAAAUUGGCCAUCAAAAAGAAAGGAGGACCAAGGCACUCUUCAUAUAAUUAAUUAAAAUGCCUUUAUUUGUACGGAAUGUUCAAUGGAAAGUUUUUAAACAUGGUUUCCAUUGAACAUGCCAUACAAAUGAAGGCAUUUUAAUGAAUGAUAUGAAGAGUUCUGUGGUCCUCCUUACUUUUUGACAUACUGUAUAUAGUCCGGACUGAAACUAUUUUCAGGCGUCGUCUAAAAUGGCACCCUAUACCCUAUUUUUUUUUUUUUACCAGGGCCCAUAGUUAUAUGGUUAAAAGGCUCUGGUUAAUAGUAGUGCACUAAAUAGGGAAUAGGGAAUUUAGGACUCAUUUGAUUACAUGAUGAUGGCUAAUAAUUCCACUAUUAACAACAACAAACCAACAUGCUCCUCUGAGACCAAACCUUUCCUUGAGGUUUAGUUGAACAUAUUGGUACAUUAUGCAGACACGUAAAUACAAUGUGAUAUCAUACAAUAUAAACACAAUUCAAUUAUAAGAUCAGCCUAACUACAUGGACAGAUGUUUGGUGUCUUGUAGUAUUUCUUCAACUUAGAGAAAAUAAUCCUUUAUUGUUUAUUCAUAAAGAUCAUGAUCCCACCCUGGACCAGGAGGACCCAGUCCUUGUUCAGUUUGUGGAUGAGGAGGUUGGGCAGCGGCCCUGUCUGGCUUUAGUCCCUUGGUCUGGACCUCUGUGGGUUCCCAGCUCUCUGACUUAUUACCUUACCCUUGCUGGGAGGAUGUUAGUGAGAGAGCGGGCAGUGUUAAACACACAGAUUUUCAUGAUGGAUCAGCCUGUUCUCAUCUGUUUCACUCCUGUUGGGAGGAUGGUGUGGGAGGAACUGUCUUCUCAAACUGAACAGCCAAAUAGUGAAGACUCUGGUUUUCCCUAUGAGAAGAUGCAGCUGGUUGGGAACUGGGGUUCAUUUCAUUUCCAUACCUGGAUAAUCCGUUAUGGACGAGUGCAGCAAAAUGAAGAGGACAUGCAUCACCUGUGCAUUGUGAGGGGAGUGGAGAAACAGCUGUGGUGGAGCAGAGUCAUUCAGGAAAAAAUCCUGGACCCAUGGGGUAUUGUCCAGGUGGUCCUCACCAACAAGGAGGUGACUGGUAUUAAGUUCCUUGGUAGAAGGAUCCAUGGACUCAGGUCUUGCCUCGUCAAGAGGAGGUUAGAGUUCACCUAUUAUGAGGACGCCCAGCAGGUGGAUAUCUCCACCACAGUGGAGGGGUUCCAGGAGAGGGGGGAUGACAUGAUGGCGUAUCAGUUCUCUACCUCUGACAUUAUCACCAUCCCUCAUGAGCCGUCCUCUGGCUCCUCUCACCAGUUCCCCCAGGAUUCUCCACCUCCCCCUCCGCCUCCCCCAUUCCCUUCCGAUUCCCCUCCACCUUACCACUUCACCCAGGACCAGGCCCAGGACCAGACCCCUGACAGCACUCCUCAGGAGUUUGUGGAGGAGCAACAUAAUGUUGCAGAUGUGCCCCAGCUGUGGAGUUACUUUGGAAACCAAGGGACAACCAACUUCUCUCUGAGGCUGGCCUCUAUCCGAUGUGCUAUGGAGGCUCUGACAUCCUCAGACAGUACCUCCCUUAAUUACCUCACCCACGCUGGGAGGAUGGUGUUGAGUGGACUGUCCAAGCUCAACCAGCAGGAUGUGAGGCAGUUUCAGCAGGCCUAUGACAUCCUGGUGAACUUCAUUAAUGAGCCAGCAAACAGGGAGCGACUAGAGCUGGAGAUGGCUCUUGUAGGAAUCAACCACAUCAACUUCACGGAUGUAUUUUAUGAAUUCGUUCUACUAAGCCUUCUAGAAGGAAAAACAUCUCUUCCAACAUCUGUAAGUGGCCCUAAUAAUGUAAACAUCUUGUUGUUUAUCUACCCUAUCCACACUGUAGCCAUACCAGGUCUGUAGACACUCACUCAUGUCCCCUGUUCCUUCUCCAGAGGCCUGGUACCUUCUUUUAUCUGCUCAUUGAAGUGAUAAUGACGAUUCACCCUCCUGGAGGAGCCUGGACAGAGUCUGCUGGGAACUUCUACCUCCUCCUUAAGGAUCAGAUGAAGGCGUGGUUGGACUCCAUCUUCAACCUCGAUGAGUCCAUCUAUGAAAGCCCACAGAGGCUCUCGUGGCAGGUGAUGGUGAAUCUAGAAAUGCAGGUUGACUUCCUCCUGUCCAGCCUGGAUUAAGGGUCCCAAACUGAGCUGAGGAUCCCAAACACAAAAUAAAGUAUUUUGUAUUUAAACAUUACCUGUCAAUCUGAAACUAAU